Molecule: long non-coding RNA, 362 nt
Organism: Pungitius pungitius (ninespine stickleback)
Lineage: Eukaryota; Metazoa; Chordata; Actinopteri; Perciformes; Gasterosteidae
Exons: 3
Source: RefSeq, a predicted model, not a curated record
GGUUGCGUGCGUUGCAAGGCAAUGGUCACACUCGGAUCAAGCUAACAUAACAUCAGUGCAAACUCUGGUGCAAAGGGACGAAGAAAAGCAGCAGGAGGAGAAGAAAGCCCUGUAAAGAGCUGCAGGUGAAGAGACAUGUAGGACCACACCUAGCACAGCAGCCGGUGAAACAGAGCAUGCAGCAGGUGAAGGAGCAACAGACACAACUCGCCCUGAUUCUGCACUACAGCCUGCAGACACUUUCUCCCCCACAACAAGUUCUGAUGUCCAUGAGUCCAUCAGGGAAGAACCGAUUGAUCCUGCUGACUGGCCAACCCUGUCUGGCCAAAGUUACUAAAAAUUAAAAUAUUCUGAGACCAUUA